GACGAACGCUGGCGGCGUGCUUAACACAUGCAAGUCGAACGGAAAGGCCCUGCUUGCCGGGUGCUCGAGUGGCGAACGGGUGAGUAACACGUGGGUGAUCUGCCCCUUACUUUGGGAUAAGCCUGGGAAACUGGGUCUAAUACUGGAUAGGACCAUGCUGUAGGUGGUGUGGUGGAAAGAUUAGUUUCGGUAAGGGAUGAGCUCGCGGCCUAUCAGCUUGUUGGUGGGGUAAUGGCCUACCAAGGCGUCGACGGGUAGCCGGCCUGAGAGGGUGGACGGCCACAUUGGGACUGAGAGACGGCCCAGACUCCUACGGGAGGCAGCAGUGGGGAAUAUGGCACAAUGGGCGCAAGCCUGAUGCAGCGACGCCGCGUGGGGGAUGACGGCCUUCGGGUUGUAAACUCCUUUCAGCCAUGACGAAGCCCUUGUGGUGACGGUAGUGGUAGAAGAAGCACCGGCUAACUACGUG
This 469-nucleotide ribosomal RNA is filed under the name uncultured bacterium. RNAcentral's name for it is "partial 16S ribosomal RNA". It matches the Rfam family "Bacterial small subunit ribosomal RNA", at positions 28 to 507 of the family's 1533-position model. The record is from RNAcentral.